This 105-nucleotide small nucleolar RNA is filed under the name Phaeosphaeriaceae sp. SRC1lsM3a. Its description in RNAcentral is "Stagonospora sp. SRC1lsM3a A. fumigatus snoRNA Afu_514". It matches the Rfam family "A. fumigatus snoRNA Afu_514". Lineage: Eukaryota; Fungi; Ascomycota; Dothideomycetes; Pleosporales; Phaeosphaeriaceae. The record is from Rfam by way of RNAcentral.
UCCAAUGAUGACGUAAUUUGCGAUUGAGGUCAGCGCUGGAGACCCUCGCCGGGGUCUCUUAACAGCGUUGAUACAGUGACAUUCCAUUUCUUACAUAUUCUGAGC